CCAGGUGAAUCAUCGAAUCUGAUGAAAAGUCCAAGCAUCGUCCAAGAAAAAGGUAUAUUUAUCUUUAGCCUUUAAUGGGCUCCCCUGUUUUUAGCCUAAAAAUGGCAAACAAAAAAUUAUGUUUUAGUUUAUUAUGAUUUUACUUUGAUUUAGUUGGUAUUUAAAUUUAUAGUAGAUAUAUUUAGCUUAUUUUAGAUUUAUUACUAGUAAGAUAUAAAUAUAUAUUGAAUUCAAUGAAUAAAUGGCGUAAAAAUAGAUAGGCAAAAAAAUAUUAGGCGAAAUCGACGGUUUAAAGCCGGACUAAACCAUUAGGUUUGGGUUUGAGUUUUUUUCAAAUCGUUUAAAAUGGUUUGGUUUAGAUUUGGCUUUUUCUCAAAUCGAUUUAAACGGUUUGGUUUGAAAAUCUGUCAAAAAUCGAUAAAAUCGGACCGCUUACACCCCUAAUCACAACACACCUUAUUGAUAGAACUUGGAAAUUAUAUAAGAGGAUUUUGAGCUUUUCCGUUGUUCCAAAUCAUAAAGGGAGACAACAGGAAAACUUGUUGAAAAUAGUUUCCUUGAUUGGGGAAUAGAGCACGUGUCGAUUAUUAUUGUUGACAAUGAUGCAAAUGAUGACAUUUUAUGGAUCUUUUGAUGACAUUUUCUAGUUGUUUAACUUAUGAUGUUGGUUUUAAAAUUUUUGAACUUCUGAUUAUUAUAAUAAUAAGAUGGUCUUAUUAAUGUUCUUUUGAGGCUCUGUUUAAUGUUGGUCCUAUAUUCCUAAUAAAGUUUUUUUAAAUUCUAACUAGUUUUUAAUUCUCUUUUAAGGUUGGUCUUAUUAAUUUUUUGUGUAACUUCUAAUCGGUUAAGGCUCUGUUUAUUUCUCUUACGAUUAGUCCAUUAAUGUCAAUUACUAAAUCUAUGACAUGAUGAAUAGUUUGUGAUAAUUCCUCUAAUUAGAUGGUUGGAUUUCCUAAAUAUGUAUUCAAAAAAAUAUUAUGGAUAGAGCCGAAGGUUUGGGUUUGGAUUUGGAUCCAAUAAUUACGUGGAACCGAAUGGAUCUAGUUACGAAAUACCCGAAAUAUAAUGGGUAGUUCUAUGUAUUGAAAUACCCGGACCUACCCACCCGACACCCACCCCUACUUAUUCUAGAAGGAUCAAGAAGCAUUGUGUAGAAUUUGCAGCAACAAAUUCUGUUCUCGUAGCAGGCUGAGGUGGACAAUCAGUUACAUAGGAACUAUUAAUAUAGAGGCAACCGGUAGCAAUAGUCAGGUAAAAAUUAGUGAGUUGGAGUGUGGAAUAAGAGAGUAGUAGACAUCUCAAAAAGCUAUCUAUUACUUCUUUCAUUGCUGUGUUGUUCUUUUAAUUACAUCAAUAUACUGCAGCCCUUGAUUGUAGUAGAAGUACGAUCUUUUUACAGCUUGAUUACUAUAAUCGCGGAAAAACUCAGUAAAAUUUUCAACUAAUCCCUCACUCAAAAGUCAUGAAUCAGAUUACAAGUCGCCAAAAGCACCGGUAACAUAUUAAUUUUCCCCCAAUUACUUUGUACCAAAACAAAAAUAAAUUACCUUGCUUAGCACUGACAGAUCAAGCAACAAAUCAGGAUUAAGCUCCAAUGACAAGAUCAUUAACCAUUAGUGUAUCCCCAAAAAAUUAAAAAAUUAUCAAGCAAAUCAUAGAAAUACUUACAGAGUCAGUGUGUGUAGAUGCAAAGAUGAAACAAAUGAGAUUAAGUGCCAAACGAGCGAAGAUAGAUAUUGGAGAGUGUGGAGCAAUCUAAGCCGAACGGCGAAGAGAGAAAGCUGUCGGCGCAGUAAUGAAGUGCCACGGCUAAACUCAUUUACUUGAUGUCACUGGACACCAAUUUUCGAAAACCAAAAUCGAAUGAUAAAAAAAUUUUAAAAUCCCCGCUUAGACUUCCUUUAAAAAAAUAAUUUAUUUUUA
Molecule: long non-coding RNA, 1923 nt
Filed under: Olea europaea subsp. europaea
Lineage: Eukaryota; Viridiplantae; Streptophyta; Magnoliopsida; Lamiales; Oleaceae
Source: RNAcentral